GGAAUGUUAGCACAAUUGGUAGUGCAGUGGCCCGCAAUAAGCCAAAGGUCGAAGGUUCGAGCCCUUCACAUUCCU
This 75-nucleotide transfer RNA is filed under the name Marseillevirus LCMAC101. Its description in RNAcentral is "tRNA-Cys". It matches the Rfam family "tRNA". Rfam says of the family: Transfer RNA (tRNA) molecules are approximately 80 nucleotides in length. Their secondary structure includes four short double-helical elements and three loops (D, anti-codon, and T loops). Further hydrogen bonds mediate the characteristic L-shaped molecular structure. tRNAs have two regions of fundamental functional importance: the anti-codon, which is responsible for specific mRNA codon recognition, and the 3' end, to which the tRNAs corresponding amino acid is attached (by aminoacyl-tRNA synthetases). tRNAs cope with the degeneracy of the genetic code in two manners: having more than one tRNA (with a specific anti-codon) for a particular amino acid; and 'wobble' base-pairing, i.e. permitting non-standard base-pairing at the 3rd anti-codon position. Lineage: Varidnaviria; Bamfordvirae; Nucleocytoviricota; Megaviricetes; Pimascovirales; Marseilleviridae. The record is from RNAcentral.